GGCCCCAUAGCCUAGCCUGGAGUUUACGGGUAAAUAAGGCGACAGCCUUCUAAGCUGUAGAUCGGGAGUUCGAAUCUCCCUGGGGCCG
This 88-nucleotide transfer RNA is filed under the name Candidatus Woesearchaeota archaeon. RNAcentral describes it as "tRNA-Arg". It matches the Rfam family "tRNA". Rfam says of the family: Transfer RNA (tRNA) molecules are approximately 80 nucleotides in length. Their secondary structure includes four short double-helical elements and three loops (D, anti-codon, and T loops). Lineage: Archaea; Nanobdellati; Candidatus Woesearchaeota. The record is from RNAcentral.